UGGGGAAUAUUGCACAAUGGAGGAAACUCUGAUGCAGCGACGCCGUGUGAGGGAAGAAGGUUUUCGGAUUGUAAACCUCUGUCUUCGGGGACGAUAAUGACGGUACCCGAGGAGGAAGCCACGGCUAACUACGUGCCAGCAGCCGCGGUAAUACGUAGGUGGCAAGCGUUGUCCGGAUUUACUGGGUGUAAAGGGAGCGCAGGUGGGAAUGCAAGUAAGGUGUUUAAUCUACGGGCUCAACUCGUAAUCGCACUUUAAACUGCAUUUCUUGAGUGGAGUAGAGGCAGGCGGAAUUCCCGGUGUAGCGGUGGAAUGCGUAGAUAUCGGGAGGAACACCAGUGGCGAAGGCGGCCUGCUGGGGCUCUAACUGACACUGAGGCUCGAAAGCGUGGGUAGCAAACAGGAUUAGAUACCCUGGUAGU
RNAcentral lists this ribosomal RNA (422 nucleotides) under uncultured Anaerofilum sp. Its description in RNAcentral is "bacterial SSU rRNA". It matches the Rfam family "Bacterial small subunit ribosomal RNA", at positions 355 to 794 of the family's 1533-position model. The record is from RNAcentral. Lineage: Bacteria; Bacillati; Bacillota; Clostridia; Eubacteriales; Oscillospiraceae.